AUGGCUAGACAACGGUCAAGACUAGAAUGGCUCAGAGAGGGCAACCGUAACACUUCAUUUUUCCAUGCCCGAGCUUCUACAAGGAGAAGGAAUAACAAAAUAAAAGGUCUUCGGAAAGUUGAUGGAUCUAUGUGUGAGGAUCCAGGGGGAAUCAGAGGAAUGGUAUAUGAUCUCUAUUCCACACUCUUUACAUCUGAACCCACUGAUACAAUGGACGAGGUGCUGGAAGCCAUACCAACAAAGGUUAGUGAGGAAAUGAAUGAAGCUCUUUGUCGAGAGUACUCAAAUGAUGAGAUCAGGUCUGCGCUGUUCCAAAUGGGACCGACCAAGGCCCCAGGACCAGAUGGUUUCCCGGCGCUUUUUUAUCAAAAACACUGGGAUCUGUUGGAAGAGGACAUAUGUGCUGCUGUAAAGGAAUUUCUUAUGGGCCGUGACAUCCCGGAAGGUUUCUGUGAUUCGAAAAGGGAAGAAGCAGGGGAGCUGAAAGGCAUUUGUAAUGGUAGGAAGGGGCCAUCCAUUUCACAUCUCUUAUUUGCUGAUGACAUCAUUUUCUUCACUAGGGGAGAUGACAGAAGUCUUAAUGCUCUUAAAUCGGCGUUACAAACCUAUUGUGAGGGCUCCGGGCAGAAGAUCAAUUUACAGAAAUCAUCCUUAUUCUUUGGCCCACACUGUGAAGAACUAGUGAAAGAGAGAAUAAAACAUUAUAUUGGGGUACAAGAUGAUACAAUGCAUGCUACUUACCUUGGUAUGCCGACCUUGGUGGGACGUUCCCCAUAG
RNAcentral lists this ribosomal RNA (777 nucleotides) under Triticum aestivum (bread wheat). RNAcentral's name for it is "partial small subunit ribosomal RNA". Lineage: Eukaryota; Viridiplantae; Streptophyta; Magnoliopsida; Poales; Poaceae. The record is from RNAcentral.